UAAUAUGCGAACGUAUUU
Molecule: unclassified non-coding RNA, 18 nt
Filed under: Salmonella enterica subsp. enterica serovar Typhimurium
Lineage: Bacteria; Pseudomonadati; Pseudomonadota; Gammaproteobacteria; Enterobacterales; Enterobacteriaceae
Source: RNAcentral